This 67-nucleotide transfer RNA is filed under the name Marmota monax (woodchuck). Its description in RNAcentral is "tRNA.Gly". The record is from RNAcentral. Lineage: Eukaryota; Metazoa; Chordata; Mammalia; Rodentia; Sciuridae.
GGUUACAGCUCAGUGGUAGAGUGCUUGCCUUCCACGAGUGAGGCACUGGGUUCAAUCCUCAGCACCA